UCAGACAGAACUCUCCAAACAAGUUUUCUCCCUUCUCACGGCCACUAGCAGUCCUGGAGCCCCAGGGAGCCCCCACCUAGCCAGCAUGUCACUCUCGCAUCUGUGAGGCGGGUGCGUGCUUACCUUGUUAUCCAGGCGCCCCAACCCUGGGCUGUCACUCCGCAGACAGCAGGACAGCCGAGGGUAGAAGCCACCGCACAGCAUCUCUCCCCCACUCAGCAGCUCCAGCUGGGACAUCAUCCGCCUAUCUCUCCUUUUCAGGCGCUUCGGGGGGUUCCCAUUCAGGCACCUUCUCCUCCGCGCUCCGCUCCCUUCGAUUCUUUCCCCAAACUUAGCAUCUCCUUCAAAGAAGCCCAGAGCCACGGCCAGGAGCAGCAGCUUAAAGGAGAGCAUCUUCAGCAUCGUCUGCCCCGAGCGGCAGGGGCUCGGCGCGGGAGGCUGGGGGGGGAACGCCACUGCCCACCAGGGGCACUAGGGCGCAGCUCCAGGAGGAGGCUGCGGGGGACACUCGAGAGGCAGAGAGUGGUGCCGGGGGCGGAAAUAUGUAGAGCGAUGCAACUUUGCGAAAAAUGAAAGACAAGGCGAUGGGUCCAGUGCCUUAGGGGAGUCCGAGGACCGAGACAGGGUUGUGCAGAUGACACCGUUUGCAGUUGUGCCAGGGUCAGUUGGGUUAGGGGCUUCCUGCUGCGGCUGGGAAGUGGGAGGAGGAGAAAGAGUUGGAAGAGGAGGAGGAAGAAGAGGAGGAGAAGACGGCCACAGAGGUUCACUUGUCCGUGUAACGGGAGUUGUUUAGGUGAGACAGUAGCAGGAACAGAAAAGGCGGCGGCGGCGGCGGCGGGGCAGACGCAGGCAGGGCCAGCGCUGGGCUCUAGAUGAUGCUGAGGUCUCCUCUGCCGGCGGCUGCAGCUUCUCACACAGCCUCUCAUGUUUCGCUCCCUCUUUUCUUCUUCUUUUUAACUAGCGCGCGGGGAGGUGCUGCCACCGCGCGCCCCUUGACGUCACCGCUCCUUGCGCGCCCCCGCCCGGGCCGAGGUGGGGGUGGAGGGGAGGGGGCGGCCCCGGCGCGAGCGCGUCCCCCGGGCCCGACGGCCUCGCGGCUGCGGCGGGGAGGGGCCACAGGCCGCGGCGGCGGACGGAGGGGGAGGGCCUGGCGGAGCCCUCGGAGCCAGCCUCGAAGGCGCGGGACGGAGCGCGCCCGCCUCGCCAGGGCGCCCGGCUGGGGGCGUCACUGGCCCCGGCCCGCGGGGGCGCGGAGAUGGCCCGCUGGUUCCCCUCUCUUCCGCAGAGCCCCUCCGCACUACCCCUGGCUAAAGGCGGCCCGGCCGAGGCUCCGAGAGCAAAGGCCGGGGUACAACCCAGAUCCUGCGAGCCGCCGAGUAGGUUAAGGCGGUCCGAAGACUGUUCGAGAAGAAGAAUCCAUCCUUGCUUAAGGUGCCGCGCCCUGCUGAGGUGACACAAGCGCGUCUGCAUGCAUGCGGUGGGGUGUCGGGGCCCCCAGUCCUGCGGGCAGGGCCCGGACGCCCCUUCCGAGUCCGACCUGUGCCCUGGAACCCAGGUGGACCCCGCCCGCACCUUCCCGGAACGCCGGAGCGCACCCCCCCCGCAGGUGGAGGACAGAGGAAGUUGGCCACAGAAUCAGCGUUCAUUUUAAAUGAAAAAAAAAAAAAAAAAAAAAAUCCUGGGGAGAUUUCCCGGGUGGUGUAAAUACAGAGGCUACCGAAGCAUUAGUUCUGGAGGAAGAAUUCGUAGCAGGUUUGCGGGAGUCCCGAAGCGGGAUGCCCUAUGAACCCGAUGUACCUAGAUAAUAACCUUUCCCCCAGCUAGUCGAAGUCUGUGUACAAGUGUUUCGAAAAAGAUCUGUACCUUAUCAAGAGUGGUGACCUGACGCUUACGCGAUGCCCGCAAUUUGGCGUGAGGGUGAGCCGAUGCAGGGUUGCACACAAAAUGUGCCUUGUGCCCAUUGGAGUAAGAGGGAGGCAGAUUUUCUGGUAGAUGGGAUUUUGAAGAAGAGAUAAAGCAGUUUUCCCAUUUGGGCAAUGGAAGAAUGUUCCCCAUAUUUGGAUUUGCUUCACUUCUAGUACAUAAGCUUCGCCAAACUAACGUGAAAGUCGACGAUGGCGGAAGUGGACAGGGGAUUAAGCUAAUUGCUGUUAAAGUGACCUCAGUGGCCAGAUAGGGCUUCUGCCCCUUUCAGUUUCUGGACCUGGAUUUACUAGUGGAGUGGCUUGAGCUCCGACUCCAAGUGAUGAAUUCAUCUUAGUAGUUUUGGAACAGGCCUUCCUUAUGGUUUGUACUUCAAGACUAAGGACACUUAAAAGAGGGAAGUUGCAUAGUUCACCUGUAGCCAACUUGACAGCAUAAUUUUUAGGAGUCAAGAAUCGACAUUGGGUUAUUUCUUAAGAUUGAGCCUUGAAAGUCCACUUGGAUGUGACGCAGCUCUGUGCACACUUGCACAUGAAAAUGAUCUUCCAUCAAGGAGCUCUCCCUCUUCAGCUAAAUCAACAGCAGUCGUUCGAAGAAGAAGGGACCCCCUAUCUGACCAAACUCAGCCAGACUAAUCAAAUAAGUCUUUGUGAGCAAGGAGUAAAGCUGCACUAGGGUGGCCCUAUCACACCUUUCUUGAGCAGCUCUCUCUAAGAUUGCCAUCUACAUGCAGGUCAUACCCUGUACGAAGGAUGGAUGGAAGAUUCUUGUGAACAGAUUAGGUUUAUUGUAAAAGAUGAAAUAUUUGACCAAAAUUGAAGUUAAUUUCAUGGAUAAAGUUCAAAAUAUUACUGUGGAUAUGAAUUAUGUUUGUAUGUAUUUAUAUAUGUAUGUAUAUAUAGUUAUGUGGUUACAUGGUUCUAUGUAUCAGAAAUUAGCACAACUUAAACUUAGUAAAUGUUGAAAAUAAAACUAUUUUGGAUAUUGGAA
RNA transcript from Acinonyx jubatus (cheetah), 2913 nucleotides. It is a transcript of the gene named CLK4-associating serine/arginine rich protein-like, with no coding region annotated. The record is from RefSeq and is a predicted model, not a curated record. Lineage: Eukaryota; Metazoa; Chordata; Mammalia; Carnivora; Felidae. The transcript is spliced from 4 exons.